Molecule: ribosomal RNA, 1636 nt
Filed under: Pandoraea apista
Lineage: Bacteria; Pseudomonadati; Pseudomonadota; Betaproteobacteria; Burkholderiales; Burkholderiaceae
Description: bacterial LSU rRNA
Rfam family: Bacterial large subunit ribosomal RNA
Source: RNAcentral
GUUAUAGGGUCAAGCGAAUAAGUGCAUGUGGUGGAUGCCUUGGCGAUUACAGGCGAUGAAGGACGCGAUAGCCUGCGAAAAGUUGUGGGGAGCUGGCAAAUAAGCAUUGAUCCACAAAUGUCCGAAUGGGGAAACCCGGCCUUUUAGGUCAUCCUAGACUGAAUACAUAGGUCUAGCGAAGCGAACGCGGCGAACUGAAACAUCUAAGUAGCUGCAGGAAAAGAAAUCAACCGAGAUUCCCAAAGUAGUGGCGAGCGAAAUGGGACCAGCCUUCAAGAUUUAGCACCGGUGUUAUCAGAACGGAAUGGAAAGUCCGGCCAUAGUGGGUGAUAGCCCCGUAUGAGAAAACCCUGGUGUGGAACUAAGCUUGAGAUAAGUAGGGCGGGACACGUGAAAUCCUGUCUGAAGAUGGGGGGACCAUCCUCCAAGGCUAAAUACUCGUAAUCGACCGAUAGUGAACCAGUACCGUGAGGGAAAGGCGAAAAGAACCCCGGGAGGGGAGUGAAAUAGAUCCUGAAACCGCAUGCAUACAAACAGUCGGAGCCUCGUAAGGGGUGACGGCGUACCUUUUGUAUAAUGGGUCAGCGACUUACAUUCAGUGGCAAGCUUAACCGAAUAGGGAAGGCGUAGCGAAAGCGAGUCCGAAUAGGGCGUUCAGUCGCUGGGUGUAGACCCGAAACCAAGUGAUCUAUCCAUGGCCAGGAUGAAGGUGCGGUAACACGUACUGGAGGUCCGAACCCACUAAUGUUGAAAAAUUAGGGGAUGAGCUGUGGAUAGGGGUGAAAGGCUAAACAAACUUGGAAAUAGCUGGUUCUCUCCGAAAACUAUUUAGGUAGUGCCUCGUGUAUCACCUUCGGGGGUAGAGCACUGUCAUGGUUGAAGGGUCCAUUGCGGAUUACUUCGCCAUAGCAAACUCCGAAUACCGAAGAGUGCAAUCACGGGAGACAGACAUCGGGUGCUAACGUCCGGUGUCAAGAGGGAAACAACCCAGACCGCCAGCUAAGGUCCCUAAAUAUUGCUAAGUGGGAAACGAAGUGGGAAGGCUAAAACAGUCAGGAGGUUGGCUUAGAAGCAGCCACCCUUUAAAGAAAGCGUAAUAGCUCACUGAUCGAGUCGUCCUGCGCGGAAGAUGUAACGGGGCUAAGCAAUAUACCGAAGCUGCGGAUGCGAGCUUGCUCGCAUGGUAGGAGAGCGUUCUGUAAGCCUGUGAAGGUGUCUUGUAAAGGAUGCUGGAGGUAUCAGAAGUGCGAAUGCUGACAUGAGUAGCGAUAAAGGGGGUGAAAGGCCCCCUCGCCGUAAGCCCAAGGUUUCCUACGCAACGUUCAUCGGCGUAGGGUGAGUCGGCCCCUAAGGCGAGGCAGAGAUGCGUAGCUGAUGGGAAGCAGGUUAAUAUUCCUGCACCGUCGUAUGAUGCGAUGGGGGGACGGAUCGCGGAAGGUUGUCCGGGUGUUGGAAGUCCCGGUCCCUGCAGUGGAGAAGGCGCUUAGGCAAAUCCGGGCGCGUAAUUCAAGGCUGUGGGGCGAGCGAACUUGUUCGCGAAGCAAUUGGAAGUGGUUCCAAGAAAAGCCUCUAAGCUUCAGUCAUACGAGACCGUACCGCAAACCGACACAGGUGGGCGAGAUGAGUAUUCUAAGGC